UACGUAGGGUGCGAGCGUUAAUCGGAAUUACUGGGCGUAAAGCGUGCGCAGGCGGUUGUGUAAGACAGGUGUGAAAUCCCCGGGCUUAACCUGGGGACUGCGCUUGUGACUGCACGGCUAGAGUACGGCAGAGGGGGGUGGAAUUCCAUGUGUAGCAGUGAAAUGCGUAGAUAUGUGGAGGAACACCGAUGGCGAAGGCAGCCCCCUGGGCCGAUACUGACGCUCAUGCACGAAAGCGUGGGGAGCAAACAGG
RNAcentral lists this ribosomal RNA (253 nucleotides) under uncultured bacterium. RNAcentral describes it as "partial 16S ribosomal RNA". It matches the Rfam family "Bacterial small subunit ribosomal RNA", at positions 524 to 776 of the family's 1533-position model. The record is from RNAcentral.